Molecule: ribosomal RNA, 253 nt
Filed under: uncultured bacterium
Lineage: Bacteria
Description: partial 16S ribosomal RNA
Rfam family: Bacterial small subunit ribosomal RNA
Source: RNAcentral
CACGUAGGGACCAAGCGUUGUCCGGAUUCAUUGGGCGUAAAGAGCUCGUAGGCGGCCGCUUAAGUCGGAUGUGAAAGCCCCUGGCUCAACUGGGGAAGUGCACCCGAAACUGAGUGGCUUGAGUACUAAAGAGGGUCGCGGAAUUCCCGGUGUAGAGGUGAAAUUCGUAGAUAUCGGGAGGAACACCGGUGGCGAAGGCGGCGACCUGGGUAGAUACUGACGCUGAGGCGCGAAAGCGUGGGGAGCAAACAGG